CCGAGUUUACAACCCCCAAACCCCUGUGAACAUACCACUUGUUGCCUCGGCGGAUCAGCCCCUCCCGGUAAAACGGGACGGCCCGCCAGAGGACCCCUAAACUCUGUUUCUAUAUGUAACUUCUGAGUAAAACCAUAAAUAAAUCA
RNAcentral lists this unclassified non-coding RNA (146 nucleotides) under soil metagenome. RNAcentral's name for it is "partial internal transcribed spacer 1". The record is from RNAcentral.